This is a long non-coding RNA of Aplysia californica (California sea hare), 263 nucleotides long. RefSeq lists it as uncharacterized. The transcript has 2 exons. Lineage: Eukaryota; Metazoa; Mollusca; Gastropoda; Aplysiida; Aplysiidae. The record is from RefSeq and is a predicted model, not a curated record.
AUCAGGCUUACUCUGCUCACCUCUCUAGCCUCAACAGCAGAAAGUCUGCUUCGACUAUCAAGAAAUGCGAACAACGAUGUCUGGCAAGUGUGGAUUAUUACGUUGACAAAAAUUGGAUAUUCGGUCAAGUGGUGUCUCAAAAAAGGGAUCAAUCUGAAGGAAAAUAAAUCGGUCAUCUUUGCAUCAAUUUCAACAAAACUCCGAAGAAAUUUUAAGCCAACCAAGAGGACAUCGAAUUUCUUAAUAAACAAUAUGACUCAAAA